RNAcentral lists this ribosomal RNA (439 nucleotides) under uncultured bacterium. RNAcentral's name for it is "bacterial SSU rRNA". It matches the Rfam family "Bacterial small subunit ribosomal RNA", at positions 8 to 448 of the family's 1533-position model. The record is from RNAcentral.
AGAGUUUGAUCCUGGCUCAGAUUGAACGCUGGCGGCAUGCCUUACACAUGCAAGUCGAACGGUAACAGGGAGCUUGCUCCGCUGACGAGUGGCGAACGGGUGAGUAAUAUAUCGGAACGUACCUUUGAGUGGGGGAUAAGCUAGUCGAAAGAUUAGCUAAUACCGCAUACGAUCUACGGAUGAAAGUGGGGGAUCGCAAGACCUCAUGCUCAUAGAGCGGCCGAUAUCUGAUUAGCUAGUUGGUGAGGUAAAGGCUCACCAAGGCUUCGAUCAGUAGCUGGUCUGAGAGGACGACCAGCCACACUGGGACUGAGACACGGCCCAGACUCCUACGGGAGGCAGCAGUGGGGAAUUUUGGACAAUGGGGGCAACCCUGAUCCAGCAAUGCCGCGUGAGUGAAGAAGGCCUUCGGGUCGUAAAGCUCUUUUGUCAGGGAAGA